AUGUAUUUGAUAUAUUUUGUGUGAAAUGCAGCCUUUGUGGAGAUUCUUAAAUCAUAUUUAGACAUUUGUUUUCUAAAAAAAACAUUUUUUCCCACUAGGUCACUAUUAAUAUUUUUUUCGGUCUAGCAAAAAUAUAUAUAUUUUUAAAUUUAAAAAGAAAAUGAUGUUUCCGCCCGGUUUCGAACCGGGGACCUUUCGCGUGUGAGGCGAACGUGAUAACCACUACACUACGGAAACCGCUGGUGUGUGUGAGCAAACUCUCUGGCUACAAUCAUUGACGAAACGGAGUUCUGUACUUCAGGAGUGAGGAGCGAGCAUCCGUACCUUGGCUGUUUUGGAUCUGCUCUUCAUCCUGUCGCUGUCCCGGCGACUCCUCUUCCUGGACGUGGAGCGCUCUUUCCUGUCCCGGCUGCGCUCCCUCCUCUUCUCCCUCUUACCGCUUCACACACAAAACAUAAAAGGACAACCUCA
Long non-coding RNA from Oryzias melastigma (Indian medaka), 471 nucleotides. RefSeq lists it as uncharacterized. The record is from RefSeq and is a predicted model, not a curated record. NCBI's taxonomy places the organism in Eukaryota, Metazoa, Chordata, Actinopteri, Beloniformes, Adrianichthyidae. The transcript is spliced from 2 exons.